Molecule: ribosomal RNA, 439 nt
Filed under: uncultured bacterium
Lineage: Bacteria
Description: partial 16S ribosomal RNA
Rfam family: Bacterial small subunit ribosomal RNA
Source: RNAcentral
CUACGGGGCGCUCCAGUGGGGAAUCUUAGACAAUGGGCGCAAGCCUGAUCUAGCCAUGCCGCGUGAGUGAUGAAGGCCUUAGGGUCGUAAAGCUCUUUCGCUGGGGAAGAUAAUGACGGUACCCAGUAAAGAAACCCCGGCUAACUCCGUGCCAGCAGCCGCGGUAAUACGGAGGGGGGUAGCGUUGUUCGGAAUUACUGGGCGUAAAGCGCGCGUAGGCGGACUGUUAAGUCGGGGGUGAAAUCCCGGGGCUCAACCCCGGAACGGCCUUCGAUACUGGCAGUCUGGAGUUCGAGAGAGGUGAGUGGAAUUCCGAGUGUAGAGGUGAAAUUCGUAGAUAUUCGGAGGAACACCAGUGGCGAAGGCGGCUCACUGGCUCGAUACUGACGCUGAGGUGCGAAAGUGUGGGGAGCAAACAGGAUUAGAUACCCUGGUAGUC